AUAAAUUGGAAAUGUCAAUACGAAGGGGGCAAGUUUUAAGAAGGGGCAACGUCAAUUCAGGCUUCCUGCUUUUACGGCUCGUGUGAUCAAGUAAAUUGGAAAGACGCUUUUAUGGCAACAGGUACAGUCAAGUGGUUCAACGACUCCAAGGGUUUCGGAUUCAUUACCCCGGAUGACGGCGGUGAAGAUUUGUUCGCACACUUCUCGGCAAUCCAGAUGAAUGGUUUCAAGACUCUGAAAGAAGGUCAAAAAGUUCAGUUCGAAGUCACGCAGGGCCCUAAAGGCAAGCAAGCUUCCAACAUUCAGGCUCCCUGAUAAGUCCAUCAGAAUGACAACAGCAAAACCCCGCCCGCGCGGGGUUUUUUUUC
Molecule: non-coding RNA, 368 nt
Filed under: Oxalobacteraceae bacterium IMCC9480
Lineage: Bacteria; Pseudomonadati; Pseudomonadota; Betaproteobacteria; Burkholderiales; Oxalobacteraceae
Description: cspA thermoregulator
Rfam family: cspA thermoregulator
Source: Rfam by way of RNAcentral